AGGGCCUACGGGGGGCAGCAGUGAGGAAUAUUGGUCAAUGGGCGAGAGCCUGAACCAGCCAAGUCGCGUGAGGGAGUACUGCCCUAUGGGUUGUAAACCUCUUUUGUCGGGGAGCAAAAGCCGGACGUGUCCGGCUGUGAGAGUACCCGAAGAAAAAGCAUCGGCUAACUCCGUGCCAGCAGCCGCGGUAAUACGGAGGAUGCGAGCGUUAUCCGGAUUCAUUGGGUUUAAAGGGUGCGUAGGUUGUUUUAUAAGUUAGCGGUGAAAUACCGAUGCUCAACAUCGGGGCUGCCGCUAAUACUGUA
This 305-nucleotide ribosomal RNA is filed under the name uncultured bacterium. RNAcentral describes it as "bacterial SSU rRNA". It matches the Rfam family "Bacterial small subunit ribosomal RNA", at positions 334 to 637 of the family's 1533-position model. The record is from RNAcentral.